AUUGAACGCUGGCGGCAGGCCUAACACAUGCAAGUCGAACGAGUGGCGGACGGGUGAGUAAUGUCUGGGAAACUGCCUGAUGGAGGGGGAUCACUACUGGAAACGGUAGCUCAUACCGCAUACCAUCAGAUGUGCCCAGAGUGGCUUAGCUUGUUGGGGGGGUAACGGCUCCCCAAGGCGACGCUCCCUAGCUGGUCUGAGAGGAUGACCAGCAACACUGUGACGGAGACCCGGUCCAGCAUCCUACGGGAGGCAGCAGUGGGGUAUAUUUCACAAUGGACGCAAGCCUGAUGCAGCCAUGCCGCGUGUAUGAAGAAGGCCUUCGGGUUGUAAAGUACUUUCAGCGGGGAGGCGUUACCCGCAGAAGAAGCACCGGCUAACUCCGUGCCAGCAGCCGCGGUAAUUC
Molecule: ribosomal RNA, 406 nt
Filed under: uncultured bacterium
Lineage: Bacteria
Description: partial 16S ribosomal RNA
Rfam family: Bacterial small subunit ribosomal RNA
Source: RNAcentral